This 375-nucleotide ribosomal RNA is filed under the name uncultured eukaryote. RNAcentral describes it as "partial 18S ribosomal RNA". It matches the Rfam family "Eukaryotic small subunit ribosomal RNA", at positions 592 to 976 of the family's 1831-position model. The record is from RNAcentral.
CAAUAGCGUAUAUUUAAGUUGUUGCAGUUAAAAAGCUCGUAGUUGGAUUUCGGUUAAGAGCGACCGGUCCGCCGUUUGGUGUGCACUGGUUGGUUUUAACUUCCUGUAGAGGACGUGCUCUGGGUUUAACGACCUGGACUCAGAGUCUACGUGGUUACUUUGAAAAAAUUAGAGUGUUCAAAGCGGGCUUACGCUUGAAUAUUUCAGCAUGGAAUAACACUAUAGGACUCCUGUCCUAUUUCGUUGGUCUCGGGACGGGAGUAAUGAUUAAGAGGAACAGUUGGGGGCAUUCGUAUUUCAUUGUCAGAGGUGAAAUUCUUGGAUUUAUGAAAGACGAACUUCUGCGAAAGCAUUUGCCAAGGAUGUUUNCAUUAA